RNAcentral lists this ribosomal RNA (255 nucleotides) under uncultured bacterium. RNAcentral describes it as "partial 16S ribosomal RNA". It matches the Rfam family "Bacterial small subunit ribosomal RNA", at positions 524 to 776 of the family's 1533-position model. The record is from RNAcentral.
UACGGGGGGAGCAAGCGUUGUUCGGAUUUACUGGGCGUAAAGGGCGCGUAGGCGGUCAGCACAAGUCAGUUGUGAAAUCUCCGGGCUUAACUCGGAAAGGUCAACUGAUACUGUGCGACUAGAGUGCAGAAGGGGCAACUGGAAUUCUCGGUGUAGCGGUGAAAUGCGUAGAUAUCUGGAGGAACAACGGUGGCGAAGGCGGCAUCCUGGACCAACACUGACGCUGAGGGAGCGAAAGCCAGGGGAGCAAACGGG